Molecule: ribosomal RNA, 468 nt
Filed under: uncultured bacterium
Lineage: Bacteria
Description: partial 16S ribosomal RNA
Rfam family: Bacterial small subunit ribosomal RNA
Source: RNAcentral
GACGAACGCUGGCGGCGUGCUUAACACAUGCAAGUCGAACGGAAAGGCCCUGCUUUUGUGGGGUUCUCGAGUGGCGAACGGGUGUGUAACACGUGAGUAACCCGCCCUUUACUUUGUGAUAUCUUCAGGAAACUGCGGCUAAUACCUGAUAGGAGCUCCUGCUGCAUGGUGGGCGUUGGAAAGUUUCGGCGGUUGUGGAUGGACUCGCGGCUUAUCAGCUUGUUGGUUGGGUAGUGGCUUACCAAGGCUUUGACGGGUAGCCGGCCUGGGAGGGUGACCGGGGACAUGGGGACUGAGAGAGGGCGCAGAAGGCUACGGGAGGCAGUAGGCGAGAAUAUGGCACAGUGAGCGGAAGCGUGAGGCGGAGGCGCCGGGAGCGGGAUGAAGGGCUUCGGGGUGUAAACCGCUGUCGCCGGUGACGAAGCGGGAGUGACGGUAAUGGGUAAAGAAGCACCGGCUAACUACGUG